GUACCUCGAAUUUGGUUAACUCCGCUCGAAACCUCAACCACCACAUGAAGUGCUCGAACUAGAAUCUACAUUAAAAGGGCACAAUAGGGAUAAGUACAGUCCAUUUGUACUCAGUAGGUAUCGUAUACCGACUGAGCAAAGUAAAAAAUAAGGUAAGUAAACAACACUAUAAGAACGUUACCUGCAAGCAGAAAAGUUCUAAAUGAUAGCUUAUGCCGUUUUCACUAACAGUUCUAAGAUAUAUACUUGCACAAAAAUAGUAACAACACAGAUAUACAUGUAAAAUAUAGUAAACUAAGCACAAUACAAGGAAGCUAAAGAAAUAACAAAAGGCACAAGUUCAAAUGCAGUGCAAUGCAAUGAAAUAUAGAUGGAGUGAAUGGUAAAAGCCAUCACAUGACUCUCUAUAUACACCCAGUGAGCACAACUUCUAAGUAGGACCCAUGAGGGGUUCACAACCCAUAUACUAGUAACUAAUAUCUCAAAUAUCAACCGACCUCUCCGGUUUGUGUUCACAGAGAGGGCUUUUAUAAAAGUGUCUCAUUUUCUUUUUAAAAUAGUGUUCCACAAUUGUACCAAUAUCUCAUGAAUGUAUAUGUAUGGAAUGAGGAUGUAAUGCUCACAAUCAACUCAACAUGAAGAUAUCCAAUGCAUCCAAUAUGUAUAUAUGUAACCCCAGAAAUCAACUCAAUAUGUCCAUAACUCAUGAUUAUCAACUCUAAUUAGGCACCAUCGAAAUAAAUACACAUGUAAGACAUUAUUUAUAUCAUAUCAACCCCAAGUCAAAUAUUUUUAUCAUUAUAAGGGCAACCAAUGCUCAAAAAUCCAAAAUAACACUUCAAGCCCCCUCAUGGAUAUUUUAUAUAUCUAGAAUAAAGGAAUUUAAAUGCACAGAUAAUGAAAUUGAUGUCAAAUAAAGCUUCCACAUGGGCAAUACACAAUAUCAUGUAUCACAAGUCAACAACAAUAAAAUAUAAGCUCCCACACGAGCACACAACUGUAAUAGUAAUUCUCAAAAUAUAAACCCUAUAUAUGUAGAAACUGAAGGUAAACGGUCUCAUAUAUUAAUAAAGUCUUUAACUUGGAAGUAUUUAUCAACUCUCUAAAUGAAAACAUAAACAAUCUGACAAGCCUCUACUCAUGACUAGGGUGACACUGGGACAGACCCUAGCUUACCAGAAUAAAACUAGAAAUCAAAUAACUAAAAUGCUUUCAUCAAUGAAUAAACGUCUGAUAAACUAGAUCCUCGGACUAUGAGGACUCACCAAAAGUCAGGAUGUAGGUGAUGAUGCUCGUAGUCAAUCGUACUAUUAAAAACGAGCACCAGAACCUACAUUAUAAGAUAAUAUAGCACAUAGACAUAUAUGUGGGUUAGUACCUCUUGAAUGUAUUGAGUAUGUGGGGGUGAAUGCAUAAGUAAAAUGAUAACUGGCUAUUUAUAUAAACUUUCAAAUGAUUCAUGCUAAGCGUAAAUGACUCACCUUGAGGUUGAAUAAAAUAAAGACCACAAAAUCAUGAUCAUGCAUAAUAAAGCAUAAUAUUGAAAUUUGUGAGCCAUAAUACUUAGUUUCUAAAAGCUUUACUUUUAUUCUUCCUUAUGGAAGAUUCUUCUAACUGACAUAAACCAUGUGAGCUACCAUGGAGUCCAACGUCUUACCCACAUUGGGGAGAGCUGUUCUACCCUUACCAUCGAAAUAUAACCUUAACUUAAGUGAUCACUAUACUUUAUCUAUACUGGAAAAAAGCUUGACCUAUGUUGGCUCAUAGUUUUUAGGAAUUUAGGAUACGUACAUCUGCAUUCCUUUCUCGGUGCUAAAUACUACUCCCAACAUACUUAUAUGCUCAUACUUUAAGAAAUCUACCUUAAAAUAGCAUAAGGGUUUAUAAACUGAAAACCAAUUAUGGUUCUCUUUUCUUAAAUCACAAUCAGGAUGAAUAAUUAUGGAUUUUAUAUCUUGUCUUAGGAUCAAAAGAUCAAUCUUUGAUUUAAAUCAUGUCAUAAAACUGAUCAAUGGAGCUUAAGAGCAUAAUCUUCUUGUUAACUCAAUACUUGAACUUAGAGCUUAGAAUUUAUACUUUAAUUCAUAGAAAUUCAUGACAAAACAUCAUGUUAAAUAAUUAUCUUGAAUUCUUUCGACAAUAUCUCAGUCAAGAUAAUCAAAUUCAAAUCACAAUAUGAAUCUUAUAAAUCAAAACAUGAAUAUAAGUAAAUCUUGAUGCACUUAAAGUUUUCAAUCACAUGGUAGUAUCAUACUAUAGAAUAUGGUUAUUUGGGUAUGAACCCUAAUUCAAAAUAAGUAAAUUCAAUCAUAAAAUUAUGAUAUUUAGGCACAAGGAUGGAAGAUUAUCCUUGUUCAUAAACCCCCACAUACCUAAAGUUUCUUGACUUGUGAAGAAAUUUUAAAUCUUGAGACUUGAAGGAUGAACUUGUGAGAGAAUCCCUAAUUUUGAUGUCCUCGAAGAUGAGAGGAUGUAAGCUUGUUAUUUGAUUGAGGAAUAGAGGAAAAUAAUGCCUCUUUGAGGGUUAUAGGUCUUGGUUGGAAGUUAUAAGAGAGGAAAAGACCAAAAAGUCCUUAGCUGAAUUUUACAGAAACUGCUCAUCGAUCUUUAUGAGUCUACCAUAUGACUCGUAUGGAAGGGUACGAAUUAACUCAUCAACUCAUAAGCUUAGCAGACUCAAGGAGGGUAUACACUAGUCAAUAUACGAGUUCCACUUAUGACUAGUAUCAUCUUCAUACGAAUCUUACCCCCUACUCAUAGCUUGGAUAGAAUCUUAGGAAGGCUACACUGAUGAACCUACGACUUACUUCAUAUGAAUCGUAUGAUGAUCUUGUGACUCCUAAGGAUUUCAUCAUACCUUCAAUAGAAUGUCCACUAUGCUACACUGUCUUGGAUAUGAUUCACCAUACAUGACUUGUAUGGAGUAUGUACAACUCAAGGGAGAAGACGUAUAAUGCACUGAAACUCCUAGACACAGGGGUAUUACAAUAGAAAAAUAACGAGGCAUAGCAAGGGGCUCACAUGCAACAUCAAAGUCAGAAAAAAAAUAUGUAUACAUAUAGAAGAUUAUAGAAGAGGGGUUAAAUAACAUGAAAGCUGAUCUAUAGAAAACUAGAAUGAUACCUAUAAUAACUGCAUCAAAAACUUCUGCCUUGGGUCUCCCAAAUAUAGCAUAACACUGACCACAUGUGCUCCUAGACUGAGUGUCUCUAUGAUCACCUCCAUAAGCUCCCCUACCUAUAUCUCUAGCACAUCUAGUACCACUAGCACAACCCCUACCACUCUAUGAACCACCUCUCACUGUAGAAAUUAGAGUAGGACAAACCUGAAGUUGAGAACCCCACUAAGUGGAUCAAUACAAACGUUAAGAGAAAUCCCUAAAAACAUGGAGAAACUCAUCACAUACAAAACAUACCAAAUCCCUAGACACAUGGACAAACUCAUCACAUAUAAAACAUACCUUACAGCCCGACUCAAUUUGAGAAGGUACAAAUAAACUAGAACGACCAUCCUGGCCUAAAGAACCAAUUCUAGAGCUUUCAAUAACAUGACCUAAUAUCUGGCUACCAGAAGCUGCAAAACCUGAGGACCUACCACAUAAACCCUACAACAUAGUAUGCAUGAGACUACCAUGAUAACCACUGGAACCUCUAAUAAAUAAAUCUCUACCUCUAAAGGAGUGUCAACUAAACUCACCCUCAAUCAUUUUAGCAUGCUCAAUAAUACUCUAGAAACAAGCCCCUGAAACUACCAUAGGGGUUGUAGUCAACUGAUAUGUACCAUCUAACUCCUUCAUAAAUUUUUGAAUCCUCUCAGAUUCAAUGGAGAUGCUAGCAGAUGGAUAUCUAGAUAAGGUGUGAAAAUGUUCCUCAUAAUCGAUAAUAGACAUAGAGCUCUAAUCCAAAUAAUCAAACUUAUCCCCAAUCUAAUUUCUCAAUCUAUAUGACACAAACCUGUCCAAGAAGGACUCUAAAAAUUGAGUCCAAGUUACAGAAGGCAAACCUAAAGGCCUAAAACAAGCAAACAACCUCCACCAAUCCCUAGUCAUAUCCGUCAAUAGAUAGGUAGUGUAAACAACUCCAUGAGACUCAAAGGAUCUAAUAUUAUGUAAUUUUUUUGUCAAUUAAUCAAAAACUUAUAGGAAUUCUCGCCAAUAGCUCUACUAAACUUAGGCAAACCCACGUGAAUAAACCUCUCAAAAUUUUUUUGAUCAUCAAAAAACAUAAUUAUACCAAAGCAACUAGAGAAAUAGUGAGUCUGGUAGGCAAAAAGUCCAUAUGUGAGGGAACUAUAGAUGAUGGUUGUACCUUAGAAGUAGGAAUGCCAUAAGUAGAUGCCAGUACUAAUGGUGGAACAUUACUAGAAGUAUGAGAAAUACUAGGUACACUCAAGGGAACGUAUUCUAAAUGAGUCAAGGGAACAGAUUCCAAACGGCUCAAGAGAUGAACCAAAAGACUCUAAAGCACCAGGGUGUCGACUGAACCCUAUUGAACUUGAGUUGUCCCCGCAUCUCCUGUCUGAUAAUCAUCUCAAGCAUACUUAAACUUAGGCUCAAGAGAGGUCUCCCUAGUACAUCCUCUGACUGGGGCAGCUCCUCAUGCCUGAACCCUAUGGGCCUUUCACAACCCCUAUUUCGCCAUCUAGUCUGGUCUUCAUCUUUAGGUAUACUGGCUCAACAUCCCUAGCCUCUCAAGAUAUAGUCCUCACCACCUAUGUUGAAAAAAAUGGAAUACAACUUAGAAUAUUUGAUAAGAAUAACUUAUAUGAUUAGUGUUUUAUCCUUUUCGGAUUUUAUUUGGCGAGAAAAUAGUUUUGACCUCUUAAAACUAUUUCAAAAAAUUCAAAAAAAGUUCAAAAUAAUUUUAAGAAACUCACAGAAUCACCACUUGAUUUUUAUAGAAAAAAUCAAGAGAAAACUUAAAAUAGAUUCAAAGGUUAAAAAAUAGGAAUAAACCUUUAAAAAUAGAGAAACUGGGUAAGGGUUCAAUUAACGCCCUAAGAAGGUUUUUAAGGUACUUAGGUUUGUCUAUUUAAAAUGGUUUACCAAAAAGAACUAACUUGACUAACUAAAAAUGACUAAUUUUUGUAAAGACUUGAUUUUAGAGAAAAUAUUAAAAUUAUUUAUUUAAACAUUUAAAAAUAAUAUUUAUUUAUUUAGAGGAGAAAAUAAUUUAUUUGAAUUGAACUAAAUUAUAAUUUUUCGAACUUUAGGAGGAAAUGAAUUUUGCCUUUGUUGGAGAAGAAGAUUAUGAAAUUAUUUUCUUAUUAUUAAUUAUUAUAAAAAAAAGUUGAUUAUGUUAUAAAUAAUAGUUUGGAAAAAAUAUUAAGAGAGUAUUAAAUUAAAAAUAUCUUAUUAAUUAUGGAAAGUUAAAACUUAUAAGAAAAUUUAGUUUGUUGAGUUUGAAGAAAGUUAUUUUAAUCCAAAUAGACUAUUAAUUGCAUGAACAUAACAAAAUGUCAUUUUGAAAUAAAAUACUUAAUCUUUAAAAGACUUGAUUUAAGGGAAAAAUUGAAAGAACCAUUUUAAUCCGUUUUUAGACGAGACAAAUUAGAUGAAAAAAAGGAAUUAUGACUUAAAUAAAGAAAAUUAAGAUAAAAAAAAAUGACAAUACUUUAAAAAUUUUAUCUAGAUUAAUUUAUUAGAGCGUUAGUACACAUAAACAAAGAUGAAUUAUAAGCUACAAAAAAUAAUAUAAGAAUUGAAAUUGGGCCCUCAAUUGGCCCAUUAAUAAAGCUGCCCAGUUUUGAGCUUUGAAUUACGGACUUCAGUUCAUUUUUCUGAAGUGUAUACCAGCUGCAUAUCAUCCCCUUUUCUUCCUGCGUUUUUGUAUAUCUGGUGUAUACAUGACCAUAUAUUGGUCCUAUAUACACGUAUUUUAGUCCUCCACUUGUAUAAUAAGCUUCUUUUUUCUCAUAUUCACCAUAUAUCUAUUGUAUAUCUGCUGUAUACACACAUAUACAACCUUGUUUCUUGUCUCUCAGUCCAUUUUUGGGACUUUGAUUGAGGCUCGGACACGACGGAGUUCAAAUGCGAGAGUAAUGAGAAUCCAAAUGGACCCAUUUAAGACAGUUCAUGCACAAAUUGAGAAAUUGAAAAGAAUUAGUACUGAAUCUUUAAAGAGGCAAAGAGAUAAAUUAAAUUCAUGUAAAUAUUUUACAAAUGGUUGAGUCAAAUAAACAGGACAUCAUACGUGUAUUUAUGCUAACAUGAUGCAAGCAGUUAAGCCAACUUGAUAAUUUCACCAUGUGAACAGAAAGAAACCAGAUUAAAUGGUUGCAACAAAAAUUGAUUCAAGCCACAGGAAAGAUCUACAUUAAUUACAAUUAUGAUAAAAAUAAGUUAGGACAGUGGCCUGUAACAUGCUUAGAACCUAAAUUUAUGAAAGAGAAAAAAAAAAAAUGAAGGCGGCAACUAUAUAAGAAACAAGAAAGUACGAAUAGUGGGGUCAAAAGACACAAGCAGCAACAAUUAAGUUUUGGACAACAAAAUUCAUAGGAAACAAGAAACUAUGAACAUAGAAUUAAGAAACACAACAAGCAACAACUAAGUUUUGGACAAUAAAAUGCAUAGGAAACAAGAAACUAUGAAUAUAGGAUUAAGAAACACAACAAGCAGCAACUAAGUUUUAGACAGCCACAUACAUAAGAAACAAGAAGAUACGAACACGGGGUUAAAACGAGCGUUGAGGAUUGAUAACAUCUUCGACUAAUAAAGUUAGUAGUUAUAUUUUUCUAGUGUUACUAGCUUUCUGCAAUAUUUUGCAAGCUAAUUUCUAACCGAAUAAAAAAAGAAGGCAGAUUCAAACAUACAGCUAAAACAAAAAUUCAAACAGAGGACAAAAAGGAUUCAAGUGGCUACUACUAAUUUCAGAUUCUUGAAUUGAAAUGAAAGACGAGGAUAAUUACUAACCUUUUUCGGGGCAGCGAAUCCGGGAAGAUGAAUGGACGACGAGCUUUCAACACCGGAGUUUAAAUUUCGAAUCUUUGGAUUUUAAUUUUCUUCGGAAUUGAGUUUUUGAGUAUGUUUCUUCGAGGAUUUUUGGUUACAUAGGAUUGGAAGCAAGCGCCACCCAAAUCUCAAUUUUUCCCCAAAAAUUCUCCCCCCUUUCACUCUACAUAUAUGGGUAUUUAUAGUGAAUUUUGGGGGGAAAUCGGAAGGAUAAACAAGGAAAAACUAGUUGAGAUUUGAAUUUCAAAAUUGAGAUAAGGUUUGACCUGGAAUUUGUGCAGAAUCUGAACUUUGUUGCUAAGCUGUUGAAAUUGUAGUCGUUGGUGUUUUGGAGUUGUUUGGUACGCUGCUUCACUGUUGUUGCUGUCGGGUUAUUAAUGUUGUUGUCACAUUUUAUUGUUGAAGUUGUUGCGUGGUUGUUCUGUUGUUGAUGUUGAAAUUGUACAGCGUUGUCGCUGCUGCCUGUGUUGUUGGAUAAGAGGGACUAGGUGUAUAAAGGUGUGGGCCGGGUCACAGGUGAGUGAAUUAGGCCGCUGGUUUGUUGCGUUUUUUAUUGUUUUUGUGGGCUGAUUUGGGU
RNAcentral lists this long non-coding RNA (7526 nucleotides) under Capsicum annuum. RNAcentral describes it as "long non-coding RNA (CANN_LNC011658)". The record is from RNAcentral. Lineage: Eukaryota; Viridiplantae; Streptophyta; Magnoliopsida; Solanales; Solanaceae.